UACGAAGGGGGCUAGCGUUGUUCGGAAUUACUGGGCGUAAAGCGCGCGUAGGCGGACCUGCAAGUCGGGGGUGAAAGCCCGAGGCUCAACCUCGGAACUGCCUUCGAUACUGCGGGUCUUGAGUCCGGGAGAGGUGAGUGGAAUUCCUAGUGUAGAGGUGAAAUUCGUAGAUAUUAGGAAGAACACCAGUGGCGAAGGCGGCUCACUGGCCCGGUACUGACGCUGAGGCGCGAAAGCGUGGGGAGCAAACAGG
This 253-nucleotide ribosomal RNA is filed under the name uncultured bacterium. RNAcentral describes it as "partial 16S ribosomal RNA". It matches the Rfam family "Bacterial small subunit ribosomal RNA", at positions 524 to 776 of the family's 1533-position model. The record is from RNAcentral.